AUUGAACGCUGGCGGCAUGCCUUACACAUGCAAGUCGAACGGCAGCACGGGUGCUUGCACCUGGUGGCGAGUGGCGAACGGGUGAGUAAUACAUCGGAACAUGUCCUGUAGUGGGGGAUAGCCCGGCGAAAGCCGGAUUAAUACCGCAUACGAACCACGGAUGAAAGCGGGGGACCUUCGGGCCUCGCGCUAUAGGGUUGGCCGAUGGCUGAUUAGCUAGUUGGUGGGGUAAAGGCCUACCAAGGCGACGAUCAGUAGCUGGUCUGAGAGGACGACCAGCCACACUGGAACUGAGACACGGCCCAGACUCCUACGGGAGGCAGCAGUGGGGAAUUUUGGACAAUGGGCGAAAGCCUGAUCCAGCAAUGCCGCGUGUGUGAAGAAGGCCUUCGGGUUGUAAAGCACUUUUGUCCGGAAAGAACUCCUUGACUCUAAUACAGUCGGGGGAUGACGGUACCGGAAGAAUAAGCACCGGCUAACUACGUG
This 486-nucleotide ribosomal RNA is filed under the name uncultured bacterium. RNAcentral describes it as "partial 16S ribosomal RNA". It matches the Rfam family "Bacterial small subunit ribosomal RNA", at positions 30 to 507 of the family's 1533-position model. The record is from RNAcentral.